Molecule: ribosomal RNA, 253 nt
Filed under: uncultured bacterium
Lineage: Bacteria
Description: partial 16S ribosomal RNA
Rfam family: Bacterial small subunit ribosomal RNA
Source: RNAcentral
UACGUAGGGUGCAGGCGUUAAUCGUAAUUACUGGGCGUAAAGCGUGCGCAGGCGGUCUUUUAAGUCAGAUGUGAAAUCCCCGGGCUUAACCUGGGAACUGCGUUUGAAACUGGAAGGCUUGAGUGUGGCAGAGGGGGGUGGAAUUCCACGUGUAGCAGUGAAAUGCGUAGAGAUGUGGAGGAACACCGAUGGCGAAGGCAGCCCCCUGGGCUAACACUGACGCUCAUGCACGAAAGCGUGGGGAGCAAACAGG